This 484-nucleotide ribosomal RNA is filed under the name uncultured bacterium. Its description in RNAcentral is "partial 16S ribosomal RNA". It matches the Rfam family "Bacterial small subunit ribosomal RNA", at positions 30 to 507 of the family's 1533-position model. The record is from RNAcentral.
AUUGAACGCUGGCGGCAGGCCUAACACAUGCAAGUCGAGCGGAUGAAGGGAGCUUGCUCCUGGAUUCAGCGGCGGACGGGUGAGUAAUGCCUAGGAAUCUGCCUGGUAGUGGGGGAUAACGUCCGGAAACGGGCGCUAAUACCGCAUACGUCCUGAGGGAGAAAGUGGGGGAGCUUCGGACCUCACGCUAUCAGAUGAGCCUAGGUCGGAUUAGCUAGUUGGUGGGGUAAAGGCCUACCAAGGCGACGAUCCGUAACUGGUCUGAGAGGAUGAUCAGUCACACUGGAACUGAGACACGGUCCAUACUCCUACGGGAGGCAGCAGUGGGGAAUAUUGGACAAUGGGCGAAAGCCUGAUCCAGCCAUGCCGCGUGCGUGAAGAAGGUCUUCGGAUUGUAAAGCACUUUAAGUUGGGAGGAAGGGCAGUAAGUUAAUACCUUGCUGUUUUGACGUUACCAACAGAAUAAGCACCGGCUAACUUCGUG